RNAcentral lists this small nuclear RNA (161 nucleotides) under Pogona vitticeps (central bearded dragon). RNAcentral's name for it is "U1 spliceosomal RNA (ENSPVIG00000015413.1)". It matches the Rfam family "U1 spliceosomal RNA". Rfam says of the family: U1 is a small nuclear RNA (snRNA) component of the spliceosome (involved in pre-mRNA splicing). Its 5' end forms complementary base pairs with the 5' splice junction, thus defining the 5' donor site of an intron. The record is from RNAcentral. Lineage: Eukaryota; Metazoa; Chordata; Lepidosauria; Squamata; Agamidae.
ACUCAUACCUUGCAGGGGAAAUACCAUGUAAUAAAAGUGGUUUCUUAGGGGGAGGCUCAUCCAUUGCAAUUUGGGUGUGCUGCUGAUCCCUGUGAUUUCCCCAAAUGUGGGGAACUCAACUGCAUAGUUUGUGUUAAUGGGAGAUUACAUUUGAUUUCCCU